ACCAAACAGCUAGCUCAACCAACCGCAAUUAAAACCGCAGUAUACAUAAUUUUUCAUAAACUUAACAACUAAGACUAAACCAUUCGACCACCCCAGUACGGGCGACAGAAAAGGAAUAAUGAAGCCAUAGACAAAGUACCGCAAGGGAAAGCUGAAAGAGAAGUGAAAUAACGCACUUAAGUAAAUAAAAGCAGAGAAUAGACCUCGUACCUUUUGCAUCAUGAUCUAGCCAGUAAUCCCAAGCAAAGAGACCUCUAGUUUGUGACCCCGAAACCGGACGAGCUACUCCGGGACAGCCUAUUGUAGGGCCAACCCGUCUCUGUGGCAAAAGAGUGGGAAGAUCCCCGAGUAGAGGUGAAAGACCUACCGAGUCAGGUUAUAGCUGGUUGCCCAAGAAAUGAAUAGAAGUUCAGCCCCGCCAAGCCCCUAGCCACAGCAGUCUUACUAAAAUUAGGCCGUGGGACAGGUGCGGGAGUUAGUUAGAGGAGGUACAGCUCCCCUAACAAAGGAUACAACCUUAACAGGAGGCUAAAGAACAAAUUUAACCAAGGUUUCAGGUUUCAGUGGGCCUAAGAGCAGCCAUCUGGACAGAAAGCGUUAAAGCUCAGACCAAUCAAAACCUAUUAUAAGAUUAAAAUCUCUAAUGCCCCUAAAAUUAUUGGGCCAUCCUAUGCCCUCAUAGGAGAGACCAUGCUAGAACGAGUAAUAAGAAGGAUGAACUUCUCCCUGCACACGUGUAAGUCGGAUCGGACCCACCGCCGACAAUUAACGAACCCAACAAUAGAGGGACCUACGCUACUGCCGCACCCGGCCGAGAAAAUCACGCAAAGUACAAUCGUUACCCCUACACAGGUGUGCAUAAAAAGGGAAAGACUUAAAGGAAGAAAAGGAACUCGGCAAACACAAACCUCGCCUGUUUACCAAAAACAUCGCCUCCUGCCACUAUAAAUAUAGGAGGUCUCGCCUGCCCUGUGACCAAAAGUUUAACGGCCGCGGUAUUUUAACCGUGCAAAGGUAGCGCAAUCAAUUGUCUUUUAAAUGGAGACCUGUAUGAAUGGCAUCACGAGGGUUUAGCUGUCUCUUUUUCCUGGUCAAUGAAACUGAUCUGCCCGUGCAGAAGCGGGCAUAACAUUACAAGACGAGAAGACCCUAUGGAGCUUUAGACGCCCACCAAUCAUGAAAAGCAACCCCGAUCAAGGGGCCCCUAAGCAACAUGGCCCUGGCACAAACGUCUUCGGUUGGGGCGACCACGGGAGAAAACAAAGCUCCCGAGCGGAUAGGGGACACCCUAAAACCCAGAGCCACUGCUCUAAGUCACAAAAUAUUUGACCGACAAUGAUCCGGCUUCUUGCCGAUCAACGGACCAAGUUACCCUAGGGAUAACAGCGCAAUCCCCUCCCAGAGUCCAUAUCGACGAGGGGGUUUACGACCUCGAUGUUGGAUCAGGACAUCCUGAUGGUGCAGCCGCUAUCAAGGGUUCGUUUGUUCAACGAUUAAAGUCCUACGUGAUCUGAGUUCAGACCGGAGUAAUCCAGGUCAGUUUCUAUCUGUACCGCCACCCUUCCUAGUACGAAAGGACCGGAGAGAUGAGGCCCAUGCUGUAAGCACGCCUCCCCCCAACCUGAUGAAUACAACUGAAGCAGGUAAAGGGGGGCAACCCCCGGCCCUAGAGAAGGGCGC
This 1680-nucleotide ribosomal RNA is filed under the name Clupeonella cultriventris (Black Sea sprat). RNAcentral describes it as "16S rRNA". The stretch from base 96 to 1601 matches the Rfam family "Bacterial large subunit ribosomal RNA". Lineage: Eukaryota; Metazoa; Chordata; Actinopteri; Clupeiformes; Clupeidae. The record is from RNAcentral.